AGCAGCCGCGGUAAUUCCAGCUCCAAUAGCGUAUAUUAAAGUUGUUGCAGUUAAAAAGCUCGUAGUUGAAUUUCGGGAUCAGUACGCUGGUCAUGCCUUUGGUAUGUACUGGUGUUACUGGUUCCUACCUUCUGACGAACCGUCAUGUCAUUCAUUUGGUGUGGCGGGGAAUCAGGACUGUUACUUUGAAAAAUUAGAGUGUUUAAAGCAGGCUCGCGCUUGAAUACAUUAGCAUGGAAUAAUGAAAUAGGACGUUUGAUCCUAUUUUGUUGGUUUCUAGGAUUGACGUAAUGAUUAAUAGGGAUAGUUGGGGGCAUUAGUAUUCAAUUGUCAGAGGUGAAAUUCUUGGAUUUAUUGAAGACUAACUACUGCGAAAGCAUUUGCCAAGGAUGUUUUCAUUAAUCAAGAACGAAAGUUAGGGGAUCGAAGACGAUCAGAUACCGUCGUAG
RNAcentral lists this ribosomal RNA (449 nucleotides) under uncultured Glomus. RNAcentral's name for it is "SSU rRNA". It matches the Rfam family "Eukaryotic small subunit ribosomal RNA", at positions 569 to 1023 of the family's 1831-position model. Lineage: Eukaryota; Fungi; Glomeromycota; Glomeromycetes; Glomerales; Glomeraceae. The record is from RNAcentral.